CCUUGGGGACAUGUGCUACAGAUCAAGGAAGACCGCUUCAGGGGCCAUCGAUGUAACCUACGUCAGCAAAGGAAAAGUUGUCUAUACGAAGAAAAAGCUGCCCACCUGUUCACCUCCCGGGACUGACACCGGAAACCUCGUACGUUUUCCUGUUGACAAUGGCUUUGUGGAGCUACGACACCUGUAUGAC
Molecule: long non-coding RNA, 190 nt
Organism: Ornithodoros turicata
Lineage: Eukaryota; Metazoa; Arthropoda; Arachnida; Ixodida; Argasidae
Exons: 3
Source: RefSeq, a predicted model, not a curated record